Molecule: transfer RNA, 75 nt
Filed under: Microtetraspora glauca
Lineage: Bacteria; Bacillati; Actinomycetota; Actinomycetes; Streptosporangiales; Streptosporangiaceae
Also listed under: 76 other names
Description: tRNA-Val
Rfam family: tRNA
About the family: Transfer RNA (tRNA) molecules are approximately 80 nucleotides in length.
Source: RNAcentral
GGGCGGUUAGCUCAGCGGUAGAGCACUCGCCUUACAAGCGAGGGGUCACUGGUUCGAACCCAGUACCGCCCACCA